This 646-nucleotide ribosomal RNA is filed under the name uncultured marine bacterium. RNAcentral describes it as "bacterial SSU rRNA". It matches the Rfam family "Bacterial small subunit ribosomal RNA", at positions 8 to 634 of the family's 1533-position model. The record is from RNAcentral.
AGAGUUUGAUCAUGGCUCAGGACGAACGCUGGCGGCGUGCCUAAUACAUGCAAGUCGAGCGGACGGAUGGGAGCUUGCUCCCUGAAGUCAGCGGCGGACGGGUGAGUAACACGUGGGCAACCUGCCUGUAAGACUGGGAUAACUCCGGGAAACCGGGGCUAAUACCGGAUAACUCUUUCCCUCACAUGAGGGAAAGCUGAAAGAUGGUUUCGGCUAUCACUUACAGAUGGGCCCGCGGCGCAUUAGCUAGUUGGUGAGGUAACGGCUCACCAAGGCCACGAUGCGUAGCCGACCUGAGAGGGUGAUCGGCCACACUGGGACUGAGACACGGCCCAGACUCCUACGGGAGGCAGCAGUAGGGAAUCUUCCGCAAUGGACGAAAGUCUGACGGAGCAACGCCGCGUGAGUGAUGAAGGUUUUCGGAUCGUAAAACUCUGUUGUCAGUGAAGAACAAGUACCGGAGUAACUGCCGGUACCUUGACGGUACCUGACCAGAAAGCCACGGCUAACUACGUGCCAGCAGCCGCGGUAAUACGUAGGUGGCAAGCGUUGUCCGGAAUUAUUGGGCGUAAAGCGCGCGCAGGCGGUUCCUUAAGUCUGAUGUGAAAGCCCCCCGGCUCAACCCGGGGAGGGUCAUUGGGAAACU